CGAAAGCCUGACGGAGCAAGACCGCGUGAGGGAGGAAGGCUCUUGGGUUGUAAACCUCUUUUCUCAGGGAAGAAGAUCUGACGGUACCUGAGGAAUCAGCAUCGGCUAACUCCGUGCCAGCAGCCGCGGUAAUACGGGGGAUGCAAGCGUUAUCCGGAAUUAUUGGGCGUAAAGCGUUCGUAGGCGGUUUUAUAAGUCUGCUGUCAAAGUGCGGAGCUCAACUCCGUAAGAGCAGUGGAAACUGUGAGACUUGAGUGUGGUAGGGGUAGAGGGAAUUCCCAGUGUAGCGGUGAAAUGCGUAGAUAUUGGGAAGAACACCGGUGGCGAAAGCGCUCUACUGGGCCAUAACUGACGCUGAGGGACGAAAGCUAGGGGAGCG
RNAcentral lists this ribosomal RNA (379 nucleotides) under uncultured cyanobacterium. RNAcentral describes it as "bacterial SSU rRNA". It matches the Rfam family "Bacterial small subunit ribosomal RNA", at positions 376 to 770 of the family's 1533-position model. The record is from RNAcentral. Lineage: Bacteria; Bacillati; Cyanobacteriota.